RNAcentral lists this ribosomal RNA (440 nucleotides) under uncultured Brevundimonas sp. RNAcentral's name for it is "bacterial SSU rRNA". It matches the Rfam family "Bacterial small subunit ribosomal RNA", at positions 338 to 795 of the family's 1533-position model. Lineage: Bacteria; Pseudomonadati; Pseudomonadota; Alphaproteobacteria; Caulobacterales; Caulobacteraceae. The record is from RNAcentral.
CCUACGGGUGGCUGCAGUGGGGAAUCUUGCGCAAUGGGCGAAAGCCUGACGCAGCCAUGCCGCGUGAAUGAUGAAGGUCUUAGGAUUGUAAAAUUCUUUCACCGGGGACGAUAAUGACGGUACCCGGAGAAGAAGCCCCGGCUAACUUCGUGCCAGCAGCCGCGGUAAUACGAAGGGGGCUAGCGUUGCUCGGAAUUACUGGGCGUAAAGGGCGCGUAGGCGGACAUUUAAGUCAGGGGUGAAAUCCCAGAGAUCAACGCUGGAACUGCCUUUGAUACUGGGUGUCUUGAGUGUGAGAGUGGUAUGUGGAACUGCGAGUGUAGAGGUGAAAGUCGUAGAUAUGCGGAAGAACACCAGUGGCGAAGGCGACAAGCUGGCUCAUGACUGACGCUGAGGCCCGUAAGCGUGGGGAGCAAACAGGACUAGAUACCCCAGUAGUC